This 1777-nucleotide long non-coding RNA is filed under the name Triticum aestivum (bread wheat). Lineage: Eukaryota; Viridiplantae; Streptophyta; Magnoliopsida; Poales; Poaceae. The record is from RNAcentral.
CUUGGGCGAGAGUAGUACUAGGAUGGGUGACCUCCUGGGAAGUCCUCGUGUUGCAUUCCCUUUUUAAUUAUUUUUUGCGCCUUAUGACAAACAUAUCGCACGUGCGCGAUAUAUAUUAAUCCCGUUAUAUUAUUUUUGACGUUUGCGAUAUGUUUAAGCUCGAUGCUCAUUGCUCGCGCGUCUUGGGGCGGCUUUGUGGCGCGAAGAGCGCGUUCUGAAAGGGGUGGAAAAAACUCGUGUUGCUGCGGUAUGGAGGGAGGGGUGGAAACCGUGGAAAACUCGUCUCCGUGAUUGAGCGGGAGAAUAAGUAGUAUAGGACAUUAUCCAUUGUUAGGGAACGGUUGUAAUGGUAGUGAGAAUGUAGAAUCGUCUUUGGAGCGGACCUGAGAGUGGCAAGCAUAAGGGACGAAGACGGGGAAACAUGUCGGACGCGAUCAUACCAGCACUAAAGCACCGGAUCCCAUCAGAACUCCGAAGUUAAGCGUGCUUGGGCGAGAGUAGUACUAGGAUGGGUGACCUCCUGGGAAGUCCUCGUGUUGCAUUCCCUUUUUAAUUAUUUUUUGCGCCUUGUGACAAACAUAUCGCACAUGCGCGAUAUAUAUUAAUCCCGUUAUAUUAUUUUUGACGUUUGCGACAUGUUUAAGCUCGAUGCUCAUUGCUCGCGCGUCUUGGGGCGGCUUUGUGGCGCGAAGAGCGCGUUCUGAAAGGAGUGGAAAAAACUCGUGUUGCUGCGGUAUGGAGGGAGGGGUGGAAACCAUGGAAAACCCGUCUCCGUGAUUGAGCGUGAGAGUAAGUAGUAUAGGACAUUAUCCAUUGUUAGGGAAGAGUUGUAAUGGUAGUGAGAAUGUAGAAUCGUCUUUGGAGCGGACCUGGGAGUUGCAAGCAUAAGGGACAAAGACGGGGAAACAUGUCGGAUGUGAUCAUACCAGCACUAAAGCACCGGAUCCCAUCAGAACUCCGAAGUUAAGCGUGCUUGGGCGAGAGUAGUACUAGCAUGGGUGACCUCCUGGGAAGUCCUCAUGUUGCAUUCCCUUUUUAAUUAUUUUUUGCGCCUUGUGACAAACAUAUCGCACGUGCGCGAUAUAUAUUAAUCCCGUUAUAUUAUUUUUGACAUUUGCGAUAUGUUUAAGCUCGAUGCUCAUUGCUCGCGCGUCUUGGGGCGGCUUUGUGGCACGAAGAGCGCGUUUUGAAAGAGGUGGAAAAAACUCGUGUUGCUGCGGUAUGGAGGGAGGGGUGGAAACCGUGGAAAACUCGUCUCCGUGAUUGAGCGGGAGAGUAAGUAGUAUAGGACAUUAUCCAUUGUUAGGGAACGGUUGUAAUGGUAGUGAGAAUGUAGAAUCGUCUUUGGAGCGGACCUGGGAGUGGCAAGCAUAAGGGACGAAGAUGGGGAAACAUGUCGGAUGCGAUCAUACCAGCACUAAAGCACCGGAUCCCAUCAGAACUCCGAAGCUAAGCGUGCUUGGGCGAGAGUAGUACUAGGAUGGGUGACCUCCUGGGAAGUCCUCGUGUUGCAUUCCCUUUUUAAUUAUUUUUUGCGCCUUAUGACAAACAUAUCGCACGUGCGCGAUAUAUAUUAAUCCCGUUAUAUUAUUUUUGACGUUUGCGAUAUGUUUAAGCUCGAUGCUCAUUGCUCGCGCGUCUUGGGGCGGCUUUGUGGCGCGAAGAGCGCGUUCUGAAAGGGGUGGAAAAAACUCGUGUUGCUGCGGUAUGGAGGGAGGGGUGGAAACCGUGGAAAACUCGUCUCCGUGAUUGAGCGGGAGAAUAAGUAGUAUAGGAC